Molecule: long non-coding RNA, 942 nt
Filed under: Sorghum bicolor (sorghum)
Lineage: Eukaryota; Viridiplantae; Streptophyta; Magnoliopsida; Poales; Poaceae
Description: long non-coding RNA (SBIC_LNC005671)
Source: RNAcentral
UAGGUAAUUGCUUAGCCCGGUGGGUAACUACGGUCUACGGCUAGGGCAGGGGAAUAAAGAACGAGGGAGGGGUCAGUGGCACGACUAAGGAGGCGAUGAUCCUUCCAACAAAUACUCGCGAUUUUUUUUUAGUGUAACUAAAUGAAUAAACUAAAUAAAAAUAAAAGAAAAAAUUGUUAGUUUAUUAUAAAUUAGACUAUAGAAGAACCGUGGAUAUCUAUUUGGAGCACUGGCCUCGUCCUUAGGUAGGACGCGCUGCUCGUGGUCUGGUCGUUUCCGUGAACGGCUACUAUAAGGUCUUGUUUAGUUAAAAAAAAAUCAAAAACUUUUUAAAAUUUCUAGUCACAUCAAACCUUACGGUGCAUAUAUAGAGCAUUAAAUAUAAAUAAACAGAUGACUAAUUACAUAUUUUAUCUAUAAUUUAUAAGACAGAAUUACUAAAUAUAGAUAAAAAUAUUACGAUGUCAAAAUCCAAAAGAGAAAAUAAAUUUUUGGAUCCAAACAAGGCCCUCGCAGGAGAUAGCGCCGGUGCCUGUACAGUACAGUGCUGCGCGCCCGUCCUCCCCGACGGCGCACAGCCACACACCGAGUGAACGGCGUCGAGCUCGCGGCGGCGGCCCAUGGGCGAUGCUCGAAACUGGAAUCAUUACUCCAGACUCUGUUGCAGCAUCUGUCAAAUGGAGACGGGCGGGUCGAUUCAGGAAUCCUGCCGGUACUGCGCAUGGCAAGGAGGCGCUGAAAGCGAGGAGGCCCAUGCGCCGCCUUCCAGCGCGCUGUCAGGCCUUGUUUACUUCACCCUAAAAUCCAAAAUUUUUUUAAAAUUCCCUAUCACAUCGAAUCUUGCGGCACAUGCAUGAAAUAUUAAAUAUAUACAAAAAUAAAAACUAAUCACACAGUUUGACUGUAAAUCGUGAGAUGAAUCUUUUGAGUCUAGUUAGUCUA